CCUACGGGUGGCUGCAGUGGGGAAUAUUGGACAAUGGGGGCAACCCUGAUCCAGCCAUGCCGCGUGUGUGAAGAAGGCCCUCGGGUUGUAAAGCACUUUCAGUGAGGAAGAACGCCUGGUGGUUAAUACCCAUCAGGAAAGACAUCACUCACAGAAGAAGCACCGGCUAACUCCGUGCCAGCAGCCGCGGUAAUACGGAGGGUGCGAGCGUUAAUCGGAAUUACUGGGCGUAAAGCGCGCGUAGGUGGCUUGAUAAGCCGGUUGUGAAAGCCCCGGGCUCAACCUGGGAACGGCAUCCGGAACUGUCAAGCUAGAGUGCAGGAGAGGACGGUAGAAUUCCCGGUGUAGCGGUGAAAUGCGUAGAGAUCGGGAGGAAUACCAGUGGCGAAGGCGGCCUUCUGGACUGACACUGACACUGAGGUGCGAAAGCGUGGGUAGCAAACAGGAUUAGAUACCCCUGUAGUC
RNAcentral lists this ribosomal RNA (465 nucleotides) under Vreelandella stevensii. Its description in RNAcentral is "partial 16S ribosomal RNA". It matches the Rfam family "Bacterial small subunit ribosomal RNA", at positions 338 to 795 of the family's 1533-position model. Lineage: Bacteria; Pseudomonadati; Pseudomonadota; Gammaproteobacteria; Oceanospirillales; Halomonadaceae. The record is from RNAcentral.